This is a long non-coding RNA of Leopardus geoffroyi (Geoffroy's cat), 1017 nucleotides long. RefSeq lists it as uncharacterized. Lineage: Eukaryota; Metazoa; Chordata; Mammalia; Carnivora; Felidae. The record is from RefSeq and is a predicted model, not a curated record. The transcript is spliced from 5 exons.
CCUCAGGCCACGGGCCCACUUCUCUGCCAGGAGGAGACGACCAUUCAGGCUGACCUGGCACACAUUCUGGGACCAGAAAGGAAAAAGGGUCUUCAGAAUAGAAGUUUUGCUGCAGCAGCUUAAACUAUCCCAGGACUUUUUGGUCUGAUCUUGUGCUAGUUUGGCAUCAUUAACCGCCAGUCUGGAGUUUGGAUGGGAACAACCACAAGUGGCCCCUCAGUGUCUCUUGGGAUUUCCAAGAGAAUGGAAAUGUCACAUGGUUGAUGCCUUUCCAGCUCCGUGUGGAUAAGUACAAAGAGCUGCUUCCAACCAUCUCUUCAUUUCCUCCAGUCCUUCAGUCUCCAUCAGUGUCUCUGUGCCCUGGGAGACUGAAAACUCCGAGAGGUCAAAGAUCACACUUGUUUUGUGCACACCUUGUCUCCAGUACCCGGCACAAUGCUUUCUACACAAAACCUAAAGCUGCAUCAGAGUGCUUUUUAAGAUGAUACUUCAGACACCCACCAACAAUCAAUAAGAGACAGCAUGAGAGGCAAGACCUAUUUACUAUUCCUUUUGUGCCCUUUUUUUGUGCCUUCCCUAAGCAAUACUGUAUACCAAGAAAGACGAACCUUCUCAGAGAGAGAGAGAGACAACAAACUUUUUAGCUUCUUCAAAAUCUGCCACAGAAGACAAAGUCAUCCCCAUGGGAUUAUCACAGGGCCUUGAGCCACUGGCCAUACUAAGACAUGGAUUCUUAGAAUCCUUCCAAAAACAGCAAAAGGAAAAUCGCAAAACCCCAAGUCUGGCCUGCCUUGUGGCACCGUGUUGGCAAUUAGCAUGAUAUUAAAAGUGUCCUGAUGCUCUUCUGGGUACAAAAGCUCAGCUUUGCUUCAUGGUACCAAGUAGUUCUGAGGCUCAGAUGUGUAUUUUUCUGUCUUUAAGUUGAAGCAGUAAGAAAAAGAAAGCAAGCUGGUAGCAGAGAUUAGGGCGGAAGCUAGGGUAUGUGGAGCGAGUCCAGGGAGGGGCUGAGGACGGCAG